This 297-nucleotide ribosomal RNA is filed under the name uncultured bacterium. RNAcentral's name for it is "partial 16S ribosomal RNA". It matches the Rfam family "Bacterial small subunit ribosomal RNA", at positions 789 to 1084 of the family's 1533-position model. The record is from RNAcentral.
GGUAGUCCACGCCCUAAACCAUGUCAACUGGGUGUUCGGGAAGCGAUUCCUGAGUACCGUAGCUAACGCGUGAAGUUGACCGCCUGGGGAGUACGGCCGCAAGGUUAAAACUCAAAGGAAUUGACGGGGACCCGCACAAGCGGUGGAUGAUGUGGAUUAAUUCGAUGCAACGCGAACAACCUUACCUACCCUUGACAUGUCUGGAAGCCCGGUGAGAGCUGGGUGUGCCCGAAAGGGAACCGGAACACAGGUGCUGCAUGGCUGUCGUCAGCUCGUGUCGUGAGAUGUUGGGUUAAG